Molecule: ribosomal RNA, 1599 nt
Filed under: Triticum aestivum (bread wheat)
Lineage: Eukaryota; Viridiplantae; Streptophyta; Magnoliopsida; Poales; Poaceae
Description: partial small subunit ribosomal RNA
Source: RNAcentral
AUGGCCCGACAGAAGAAGACCACCUAUGUUAUGCUAACACCACAGCGGCGUUUCCAGUUCCAGAUGAUCAAGGAGAUCCGGGCUAGGCGCCCGGAUUGCAGCGGGGUUGCCUUCAAACUCGCCGGAGCCAAAGGAGGAGGACGAGGAGGGGAGCAGCAGACGGAUCACAUGGAAGGGACGGUUCCGAUGGAGGAGGAUGCGGAGAAGCCGAAGGAGGAGCCGCAACCGGUUGCGGGCAUUGCCAUGCAAGAUGCCAUGGUGGAGUCAGCUCGCAAUACAUCCGGUGAGAACGGGAAGACCGAGGGCUUUGCCAUGCAAGAUGCCAUGGUGGAGUUCGAGCUCGCCCAAGUGGCGGAGAUGGCGGAGCUGAUUGCCACCCCGGAGUCCACGAGGAUCGUGGACAUCUUCGACGAUGAGAAGGUUUCAAGUAUGAGCCCGAUCCAGAUCCCCAACCCACUCGCCGCCGGCCUCCCUUCCACCUCCUCUCCUCCCUCCGUCCGCCCCCACGCCCCCCGUCGCGUGCGCCACGCCGGCCUCCAACUACGACCUCACGCAUCGAGCGCGCGCGCUGGCGCAGCCCUGAGUCACCCGCCGCGUCCACGCCGAGACGCCCUCCAUCCUCACCUUCCAGGUCCGUUCCUCCUCCCCCCCAAUCCCUGUCUUUCUUCCCUCGUUCCAGUUCCUGCAUUUGGGGAUAUCUUGUUGUGCAAUCUGGAUACCAUUGCCCGUUCCAGCACGCGGUUGCUGCUCGAUUCGUUAGUCUUGGGAGAAAGCAGAACAAAUUUGAGGCUGCAGCACAAGUUGCUGGACAACUUCUUCUCCGCUCACUCGCCGUCUCCCGUCUCAUGGCCGAGCUCAAGGUCCGCUCACUCGCCGCCUCCUCACCGAUUCCAGCCCUGGUUGUUAAUACCUAGGCGAAUGUAUACCCAUCCACCUGAUGGUUUUCUUAGUUUAUCAAGCAGUCCACGAACGCCAACAUUCCAGCCAAUGCACUAUCCAUCUCAUGUCCCCCCUCCUAGACAACAGCAACAGGAGAAUCUCCAUUUUGUCGGUGUCCCCUCACAUGUUGCAUUCUCAACACCACCACCACCACCAAACAGGCCGGUGAUGUCUUUGGUUGUCAUGAGGCUGGCCGGUGAGAAUGCCACGUUGCCGGAGCCAAAUGAGCCCGGCGUAAACCUGCGGAGGAACAUGACAGAUACAGGAUUUUCUGAAAAUGAAAGCGAGUUCACCAUGACUACAACAGAUACUAGAAUUACUGAUUGCUCUUUGUUCUCAUUUUCCUUGUUAGCUGAAACUAUUCCUUGUCUACAGAUAAGCGGAAGCCGUGUUCGGAGCCACCAACAGUGUCUUCCUUGGAUUCGUUCGUGCAAUAAGGAGGGUACCCGGCCUUCUUCACGUGUCGAGCAACAAGAUUUUCGUGGCCCGGUGGGUGUCGUGCUCUUCAACCACUUGGAGGCGGACUUCACCGUGAAGCCCAGUGACUACUGCACACAGAUGAUCAUCCAGGUGAUUGCGAUGUCGGAGGUCGCCAAGGUGGAGGUCCUCGACGCCACCGUCCGGGGGGAGGUCCACCGGUGUCUGAACUCCAAGCCUUAG